This 1569-nucleotide small RNA is filed under the name Rattus norvegicus (Norway rat). Its description in RNAcentral is "uncharacterized LOC102551922". Lineage: Eukaryota; Metazoa; Chordata; Mammalia; Rodentia; Muridae. The record is from RNAcentral.
AGGCGCGCGAGCCCCACCCCCCCCAGCAACUCAGUGCGCAUGUCCGGGUCCUGACCCCUAGCGGAAGGUGGAGACGGGAAGAGGGAGGUGCUUUUGUUUCCGUGCAUAGGAGCAAAAGGAGGCUGCCCAUUGUGGUCCCUCGAAAAGCGCUAAAAGGGGCGGUAGGCGGAAGGAUCAAGGUGAUGCGUUCGAGAUGAGUGGCCCUGUAGUGCUCACCAGUGCCAAUGAUGGACCACAAUGUGGAGAUAUAAGCCAAAUAAAGGCUUUCGUCCCCAGCGUGCCUUUGGUCAUGGAGUGUCACCACAGCAAGAGAAGUGCUAAGACAAAGGGAAUCCACAGGCGGGAAGGAGCUCACAACACAGGGAUGUCGUCAAACCUCUGGAGAUUUUAGGAACAGAUGGAACAAGCCUCAAAAUAAUGGCUACGUACGAUAAACCUAUAAUCAAUGUUAUAACAUGGAGACAAACAGCAUUUUCUCUAAAACCAGGAACAGGACAAGGACGUUCACACUCUCUUAUCUAUAAGUGCUUGAAGUCUUAGUUAUAGCAAUUAGACAAGAGAAAGGCAUAAACAGGAUUAAAAAAAAUAGGACAGGAAGAAGAUAAACCCAUCUCUAUUUACAGAUGACACAAUUCUUGUUUAAAAGACCCUAUUGAGUCUGCUAGAAAACUAAUAAAUACAGUGAAGUUACCAUAUACAAAAUACAUGUUUAAAAAAAAAAAAAAAGAAGAGCCUUCAUUGUACUCCCAGGAAUAGAAAUCAGAGGCAAUAUUCCAUUUAAAAUAAUCAGCCCCAAUUAAGCAUUUAGAAAUAUAUCUAAGCAAAGAAAUAAAGGACCUUUACAAAAAUUAUCAAGAUAUUUAAAAAUGAAAUUACACAAGAUAUUGGAUUAUGAAAAGGCAUCUCAUGCUCCUGGAUUGGCAGUUAAUAUUGUGAGAAUGGACACACACGCGCACACACACACACACACACACAGAGAGAGAGAGAGAGAGAGAGAGAGAGAGAGAGAUCCAAAACAGCCAAAGCAAUCCUAGAUGAUAGAUGAUACUGGCAUAAGAUCAGACAGAUGCACCAAUGGGGUAGAAAAGAGGUCAAACAAGAAAGCUGUGCCCACUUAUUUAUUUACAAGGAAUAAAAAACAUACACUAGAUAAAAGCCUAUUCAACAAAUGGUUCUGGCAAAAUUUGAUACCUACUUGCAGAAGAAUGAAAUUAGAUUCGUAUUUUUCACCUCAUACAAAAAUCAAUUUAAAUUGGAUUAAAUAUCUUAAUGUAAAGCCGGAAACACUGAAACUUCUAGAAGAAAACACAGAUAGAGGGGAAUAUAGAACCCUUUUAAUGGAGGACCAACAGCACGGGAACUAGCAUCGGCAGAUGGGUUUACAUGAAAAUCAAGUUUCUGCUCAGCGAAGGAAAUGGUCAGCACAGCACAGACAGCCCACAGCACGGGAUAUCAUCUGCACCAGCUACGCCUCAGACAGACUACAAAGAACUGCAGAAAUUAAAUACCAAGGAAAUAAAACUGACAAUAAAUAGGUAAGUGAAUUGAAUAGACAACUUUUCAAAAAAA